RNAcentral lists this ribosomal RNA (460 nucleotides) under uncultured bacterium. Its description in RNAcentral is "partial 16S ribosomal RNA". It matches the Rfam family "Bacterial small subunit ribosomal RNA", at positions 338 to 795 of the family's 1533-position model. The record is from RNAcentral.
CCUACGGGUGGCAGCAGUGAGGAAUAUUGGUCAAUGGACGAGAGUCUGAACCAGCCAAGUCGCGUGAAGGAUGACUGUCCUAUGGGUUGUAAACCUCUUUUAUAAAGGAAUAAAACGAGGCACGUGUCCCCUUUUGCAUGUACUUUAUGAAGAAGGAUCGGCUAACUCCGUGCCAGCAGCCGCGGUAAUACGGAGGAUCCGAGCGUUAUCCGGAUUUAUUGGGUUUAAAGGGAGCGUAGAUGGGUUGUUAAGUCAGUUGUGAAAGUUCGCGGCUCAACCGUCAGAUUGCCAUUGAUACUGGCAGUCUUGAGUAGGGUAGAGGUAGGCGGAAUUCGUGGUGUAGCGGUGAAAUGCUUAGAUAUCACGAAGAACCCCGAUUGCGAAGGCAGCUUACUAAACUGUGACUGACAUUGAUGCUCGAAAGUGUGGGUAUCAAACAGGAUUAGAUACCCGUGUAGUC